Molecule: ribosomal RNA, 465 nt
Filed under: Vreelandella stevensii
Lineage: Bacteria; Pseudomonadati; Pseudomonadota; Gammaproteobacteria; Oceanospirillales; Halomonadaceae
Description: partial 16S ribosomal RNA
Rfam family: Bacterial small subunit ribosomal RNA
Source: RNAcentral
CCUACGGGUGGCUGCAGUGGGGAAUAUUGGACAAUGGGGGGAACCCUGAUCCAGCCACGCCGCGUGUGUGAAGAAGGCCCUCGGGUUGUAAAGCACUUUCAGUGAGGAAGAACGCCUGGUGGUUAAUACCCAUCAGGAAAGACAUCACUCACAGAAGAAGCACCGGCUAACUCCGUGCCAGCAGCCGCGGUAAUACGGAGGGUGCGAGCGUUAAUCGGAAUUACUGGGCGUAAAGCGCGCGUAGGUGGCUUGAUAAGCCGGUUGUGAAAGCCCCGGGCUCAACCUGGGAACGGCAUCCGGAACUGUCAAGCUAGAGUGCAGGAGAGGAAGGUAGAAUUCCCGGUGUAGCGGUGAAAUGCGUAGAGAUCGGGAGGAAUACCAGUGGCGAAGGCGGCCUUCUGGACUGACACUGACACUGAGGUGCGAAAGCGUGGGUAGCAAACAGGAUUAGAUACCCGUGUAGUC